RNAcentral lists this ribosomal RNA (456 nucleotides) under uncultured bacterium. Its description in RNAcentral is "bacterial SSU rRNA". It matches the Rfam family "Bacterial small subunit ribosomal RNA", at positions 1036 to 1498 of the family's 1533-position model. The record is from RNAcentral.
AGGUGCUGCACGGCUGUCGUCAGCUCGUGUCGUGAGAUGUUGGGUUAAGUCCCGCAACGAGCGCAACCCUCGUGUUUAGUCACUAACAGUUCGGCUGAGGACUCUAGACAGACUGCCUGGGUAACCAGGAGGAAGGUGAGGACGACGUCAAGUCAUCAUGGCCCUUACGGCCAGGGCUACACACGUGCUACAAUGGGGUAUACAAAGAGCCGCAAUACCGCGAGGUGGAGCAAAUCUCAUAAAAUAUCUCCCAGUUCGGAUAGCAGUCUGCAACUCGACUGCUUGAAGUUGGAAUCGCUAGUAAUCGUGAAUCAGCAACGUCACGGUGAAUACGUUCCCGGGUCUUGUACUCACCGCCCGUCACACCAUGGGAAUUGAAUUCAUUCGAAGCGGGGAUGCUAAAAUAGCUACCUUCCACAGUGGAUUUAGUGACUAGGGUGAAGUCGUAACAAGGUA